RNAcentral lists this ribosomal RNA (1374 nucleotides) under uncultured bacterium. RNAcentral describes it as "bacterial SSU rRNA". It matches the Rfam family "Bacterial small subunit ribosomal RNA", at positions 29 to 1394 of the family's 1533-position model. The record is from RNAcentral.
UUGAACGCUGGCGGCAGGCCUAACACAUGCAAGUCGAACGGUAGCACAGAGAGCUUGCUCUCGGGUGACGAGUGGCGGACGGGUGAGUAAUGUCUGGGAAACUGCCCGAUGGAGGGGGAUAACUACUGGAAACGGUAGCUAAUACCGCAUAACGUCUUCGGACCAAAGUGGGGGACCUUCGGGCCUCACACCAUCGGAUGUGCCCAGAUGGGAUUAGCUAGUAGGUGGGGUAAUGGCUCACCUAGGCGACGAUCCCUAGCUGGUCUGAGAGGAUGACCAGCCACACUGGAACUGAGACACGGUCCAGACUCCUACGGGAGGCAGCAGUGGGGAAUAUUGCACAAUGGGCGCAAGCCUGAUGCAGCCAUGCCGCGUGUAUGAAGAAGGCCUUCGGGUUGUAAAGUACUUUCAGCGGGGAGGAAGGCGAUGGAGUUAAUAGCUUCAUCGAUUGACGUUACCCGCAGAAGAAGCACCGGCUAACUCCGUGCCAGCAGCCGCGGUAAUACGGAGGGUGCAAGCGUUAAUCGGAAUUACUGGGCGUAAAGCGCACGCAGGCGGUCUGUCAAGUCGGAUGUGAAAUCCCCGGGCUUAACCUGGGAACUGCAUUCGAAACUGGCAGGCUAGAGUCUUGUAGAGGGGGGUAGAAUUCCAGGUGUAGCGGUGAAAUGCGUAGAGAUCUGGAGGAAUACCGGUGGCGAAAGGCGGCCCCCUGGACAAAGACUGACGCUCAGGUGCGAAAGCGUGGGGAGCAAACAGGAUUAGAUACCCUGGUAGUCCACGCCGUAAACGAUGUCGACUUGGAGGUUGUGCCCUUGAGGCGUGGCUUCCGGAGCUAACGCGUUAAGUCGACCGCCUGGGGAGUACGGCCGCAAGGUUAAAACUCAAAUGAAUUGACGGGGGCCCGCACAAGCGGUGGAGCAUGUGGUUUAAUUCGAUGCAACGCGAAGAACCUUACCUACUCUUGACAUCCAGCGAAUUCGGUAGAGAUACCUUAGUGCCUUCGGGAACGCUGAGACAGGUGCUGCAUGGCUGUCGUCAGCUCGUGUUGUGAAAUGUUGGGUUAAGUCCCGCAACGAGCGCAACCCUUAUCCUUUGUUGCCAGCGGUCCGGCCGGGAACUCAAAGGAGACUGCCAGUGAUAAACUGGAGGAAGGUGGGGAUGACGUCAAGUCAUCAUGGCCCUUACGAGUAGGGCUACACACGUGCUACAAUGGCGCAUACAAAGAGAAGCGACCUCGCGAGAGCAAGCGGACCUCAUAAAGUGCGUCGUAGUCCGGAUUGGAGUCUGCAACUCGACUCCAUGAAGUCGGAAUCGCUAGUAAUCGUAGAUCAGAAUGCUACGGUGAAUACGUUCCCGGGCCUUGUACUCACCGCC